CCUACAAUAUCACAUCGUAAACUCAGCAUGGUAUAACAGCUUCCUUUUAAAAAACUUAAAAAUUACAGUGAAUUGAGACAGAGGUUAUGCUUCCAUCACAGCAAGGUUACUGCUGUGGAGACAAUGACACCGGUAAUAUGU
RNAcentral lists this small nucleolar RNA (141 nucleotides) under Mustela putorius furo (domestic ferret). RNAcentral's name for it is "Small nucleolar RNA SNORA1 (ENSMPUG00000020805.1)". Lineage: Eukaryota; Metazoa; Chordata; Mammalia; Carnivora; Mustelidae. The record is from RNAcentral.